AUUUUUAGUGCAAUUAUAAAUAGAAUUGUUUUCUUAAUUUCUCAUUCUGCCACUUCAUUAUUACUGUGUAAAUGCACUGGAUUCCUGUUGUGUGAGUUCUUAUUGAAUUCAUUUAUUCAUAAAAGGCAGAUUUUCCUUGUGUACUGUGGUGUCUGAUGCAACGUAUCCUGAACAAACUAGCAAUUCGCUAGUUUACUCUAAUGACUAAACAUGGUCUGGUGUGUGUGGUCUUUCUCAUCUUCUUCCAGUAUCUUUAAGGAUGAAUCCUAAGACUUGGACGCUUGUAAUAAAGGAAUUUUCUUUUAACCCCAGGUGUCUCUGGAUUGGUGACAUACACAUAUUUGUCAACAUUUCCAGUAGGUGGAGAGGCAGGUGUUUGAGUUCUGUUGUGUACAGCUUUGAACUAAGACUGAGUUCCUUUCUGGGUGCCUCCUUCUGAAAGCUCUUAUGAACACACACCAGUGGAGGACGAUGAGCCAAAGAAAAGCACCAGUUCAGCUUCUACUUCAGAAGAAGAAAAGAAGAAGAAGAAGUCUAAUCAUUCAAAAGAGAGGUCCAAGAAAAAGAGAAAGAAGAAAUCCUCUAAAAGAAAACACAAGAAGUACUCUGGUGACAGCGACAGUGACUCUGACUCUGACUCAGACUCCAGUGGUAAGAAGGCCGGCAUCGCUCUGCAAGCCUGGCUUCAAAACUCG
Molecule: long non-coding RNA, 695 nt
Organism: Mustela erminea (ermine)
Lineage: Eukaryota; Metazoa; Chordata; Mammalia; Carnivora; Mustelidae
Exons: 3
Source: RefSeq, a predicted model, not a curated record